CCCUCGGCUGCGGGGUAGCGGGCAGCCCUGCGCUGCCGGCCACCUAGCCUGCACCCCCCGCCCCGGGAGGGAAGCCUCGCUCCAGCCGCGUCGUUUCCGCGCCGAAGCGCGAUCCGGGGCCCCGCGCUGGAGUCCCUUGCUCUCAGGCUGGUGGCAGUUGCUGGAGUACCAGGGCACCAAGUGGAGGAUGUGGUAGACAGCCUCUAAGAUGCGCCCCCUGCCAAUGAUCUCUGCCUCCAGGGAGGAGCUAGAAGGCAGAGAGAAAGCCACUCAGGACUUCCCAUCCCAGAAGAUAAAGGUGAGGAAAGCAGCAGCAGCAGCCACAGGCCAGUAUUCCAGAGCAGCUUUGGGUUCCUGUCAAGACCUGCUUUGAGAAGGAGGUGGCUGUGGGGCUGGAGGGCUGGGCCUGUUCCUGAGCUGGCUGCUGGCAGCACAGCAAUGAGGCAACAUUGACAACUGCGACACGAGGCCCAGUCCUGCUACUAAACCAACUGUGUGGACUUGCAUAGUCACUUCACCCCUCGGGCCUUCAUUUCUCCACUUUGGAAAGCAGUGUUGGGACGAUGUUAAGGG
RNAcentral lists this non-coding RNA (573 nucleotides) under Pan troglodytes (chimpanzee). Lineage: Eukaryota; Metazoa; Chordata; Mammalia; Primates; Hominidae. The record is from RNAcentral.